CCGGAUGCUCUAGCAGGGUUGCACCGUAAAGCAGCCCCGCCCCAUCUACCC
RNAcentral lists this non-coding RNA (51 nucleotides) under unclassified sequences. RNAcentral describes it as "RAGATH-5 RNA". It matches the Rfam family "RAGATH-5 RNA". The record is from RNAcentral.